AGAGCGCAAGGGGAAUGCCUUGGCAUCAGGAGCCGAAGAAGGACGUGACAAGCUGCGAAAAGCCUCGGGGAGGAGCAAAUAUCCAUUGAUCCGGGGAUAUCCGAAUGGGGCAACCCGGCUGGACAAUAUCCAGUCAUCCUGCGUUGAACAAAAUAGGCGUAGGAAGGGAACCGCCUGAACUGAAACAUCUAAGUAGGGCGAGGAAGAGACAUCAACCGAGAUUCCGCAAGUAGUGGCGAGCGAACGCGGAAGAGGCCAAACCGAGGGAUUUAUUCCUCGGGGUUGCGGACAGUCAUUUAGCGGAAGUUAUCUAGGAGAAGGGUCUGGGAAGGCCCGCCACAGAGGGUGAGAGCCCCGUAUCCGAAAGAGAAGGCCGUGCGACUGAAUCCAGAGUACCGCGGGACACGUGAAACCCCGUGGGAAACAGGGGGGACCACCCUCCAAGCCUAAAUACUACCUGAUGACCGAUAGAGGAGCAGUACCGUGAGGGAAAGGUGAAAAGGACCCCGGGAGGGGAGUGAAAGAGAACCUGAAACCUUGUGCUUACAAGCAGUCAAAGCACGUUAAAGUGUGAUGACGUACUUUUUGUAGAACGGUCCGGCGAGUUAUAGUAACGAGCAAGCUUAAGGUAUUGAGUACCGGAGGCGAAGCGAGAGCGAGUCUGAAUAGGGCGUAAAGUUCGUUGCCAUAGACCCGAAACCGGGUGACCUAUCCAUGAGCAGGCUGAAGUGAGAGUAAAAUCUCAUGGAGGGCCGAACCGACCCCCGUUGCAAUGGUGGCGGAUGACUUGUGGAUAGCGGAGAAAUUCCAAUCGAACUCGGAGAUAGCUGGUUCUCCCCGAAAUAGCUUUAGGGCUAGCCUCAUGUUAGAUAUCCGGAGGUAAAGCACUGAAUGGCCUAGCGUCCGAGAGGAUAGCGAAGCCUAUCAAACUAAGAAUGCCGGAAUAUUGAUGCAUGGGAGUCAGACAGUGUGAGAUAAAUCUCAUUGUCAAAAGGGAAACAGCCCAGAUCUACAGCUAAGGUCCCAAAUUGUAUCUAAGUGGAAAACGAUGUGGAAAUACGCAGACAACCAGGAUGUUGGCUCAGAAGCAGCCACUCAUUUAAAGAGUGCGUAAUAGCUCACUGGUCGAGCGUCUCUGCGCGGAAAAUUUAACGGGGCUAAGAUACAAACCGAAGCUUAGGCUGCACUUUUAGUGCGGGGUAGGGGAGCGUUGUGUAAGCGGAGAAACAGUAGCGAAAGCGGCUGUGGAGUUUACAGAAGUGAGAAUGCCGGAAUGAGUAGCGCGAAUGAUGUGAGAAUCAUCAUGGCCGGAAACCUCAGGUUUUUGGAGGAAGGUUCGUCCGCUCCAAGUUAGGCGGGAGCUAAGGUGAGGCCGAAAGGCGUAGCCGAUGCACAGACGGUAGAGAUUCCGUCCCCACCGAAAGAUUUAAGCGCAGGGACACUUUUAGAAGGUCGGAGCCAGGUGUUGGUUCUGGUAGAGAUCGAGGGAAAUUUAGUACCGAAGUCCGGCUGGAUAAGAGGCGAGAAAAGCUGCGUGUAUAUCUAAGGUGCCCGUACCGCAAACCGACACAGGUAGGUAGGAAGAAGAUUCUAAGGCCAACGGGAGAAGGGUUGUUAAGGAACUCGGCAAAUUGACCCCGUAACUUCGGGAGAAGGGGUGCUCCAGAGAUGGAGCCGCAGAGAAUCGGCCCAAGCAACUGUUUACCAAAAACACAGGUUUGUGCUAAAUCGAAAGAUGACGUAUACGAGCUGACGCCUGCCCGGUGCUGGAAGGUUAAGAGGAGAUGUGCAAGCAUUGAAUCGAAGCCCCAGUGAACGGCGGCCGUAACUAUAACGGUCCUAAGGUAGCGAAAUUCCUUGUCAGGUAAGUUCUGACCCGCAUGAAAGGCGUAAUGAUUUGGGCACUGUCUCAACAGCCCGCCCGGCGAAAUUGUAGUACCGGUGAAGAUGCCGGUUACCCGCGACAAGACGGAAAGACCCCAUGGAGCUUUACUGUAGCCUAAUAUUGGGUUUCGAUGUUGCAUGCACAGGAUAGAUGGGACUCUGGGAAACCAAGGCUUUGGCUUUGGCGGAGAGGCCGUUGGGAUACCAUCCUUGCGAUAUUGGAAUUCUAACCUGCGGCUCUGAAUCGAGUCGGGGGACAUUGUUAGGUGGGCAGUUUGACUGGGGCGGUCGCCUCCUAAAGA
Molecule: ribosomal RNA, 2186 nt
Filed under: human gut metagenome
Description: bacterial LSU rRNA
Rfam family: Bacterial large subunit ribosomal RNA
Source: RNAcentral